AGUGACAGGUGGUGCAUGGUUGUCGUCAGCUUGUGUCGUGAGAUGUUGGGUUAAGUCCCGCAACGAGGGCAACCCUUAAGCUUAGUUGCCAUCAUUAAGUUGGGCACUCUAGGUUGACUGCCGGUGACAAACCGGAGGAAGGUGGGGAUGACGUCAAAUCAUCAUGCCCCUUAUGAUUUGGGCUACACACGUGCUACAAUGGAUAAUACAAAGGGCAGCGAAUCCGCGAGGCCAAGCAAAUCCCAUAAAAUUAUUCUCAGUUCGGAUUGUAGUCUGCAACUCGACUACAUGAAGCUGGAAUCGCUAGUAAUCGUAGAUCAGCAUGCUACGGUGAAUACGUUCCCGGGUCUUGUACACACCGCCCGUCACACCACGAGAGUUUGUAACACCCGAAGCCGGUGGAGUAACC
Molecule: ribosomal RNA, 409 nt
Filed under: Mammaliicoccus sciuri
Lineage: Bacteria; Bacillati; Bacillota; Bacilli; Caryophanales; Staphylococcaceae
Description: bacterial SSU rRNA
Rfam family: Bacterial small subunit ribosomal RNA
Source: RNAcentral